AUUGAACGCUGGCGGCAUGCCUUACACAUGCAAGUCGAACGGCAGCACGGGAGCUUGCUCCUGGUGACGAGUGGCGAACGGGUGAGUAAUGCAUCGGAACGUACCCAGUCGUGGGGGAUAACGUAGCGAAAGUUACGCUAAUACCGCAUACGUCCUGAGGGAGAAAGCGGGGGGACCGUAAGGCCUCGCGCGAUUGGAGCGGCCGAUGUCGGAUUAGCUAGUUGGUAGGGUAAAGGCCUACCAAGGCGACGAUCCGUAGCGGGUCUGAGAGGAUGAUCCGCCACACUGGGACUGAGACACGGCCCAGACUCCUACGGAGGCAGCAGUGGGGAAUUUGGACAAUGGGCGAAAGCCUGAUCCAGUUAUGCCGCGUGAGUGAAGAAGGCC
This 387-nucleotide ribosomal RNA is filed under the name uncultured bacterium. Its description in RNAcentral is "bacterial SSU rRNA". It matches the Rfam family "Bacterial small subunit ribosomal RNA", at positions 29 to 416 of the family's 1533-position model. The record is from RNAcentral.